GGGGGGCUGGCGCAACGGCAGCGCGUUGGAUUCCAGACCCAAAGGUUAUCCGUUCAAAUCGGGUGUCCCUCA
This 72-nucleotide transfer RNA is filed under the name Verticillium dahliae VdLs.17. RNAcentral describes it as "tRNA-Trp (CCA) (tRNA-Trp-CCA-1-1)". It matches the Rfam family "tRNA". Rfam says of the family: Transfer RNA (tRNA) molecules are approximately 80 nucleotides in length. Their secondary structure includes four short double-helical elements and three loops (D, anti-codon, and T loops). RNAcentral also lists the same sequence under 2 other names. The record is from RNAcentral. Lineage: Eukaryota; Fungi; Ascomycota; Sordariomycetes; Glomerellales; Plectosphaerellaceae.